This 83-nucleotide transfer RNA is filed under the name Pomacea canaliculata. Its description in RNAcentral is "tRNA-Ser". It matches the Rfam family "tRNA". Rfam says of the family: Transfer RNA (tRNA) molecules are approximately 80 nucleotides in length. Their secondary structure includes four short double-helical elements and three loops (D, anti-codon, and T loops). Lineage: Eukaryota; Metazoa; Mollusca; Gastropoda; Architaenioglossa; Ampullariidae. The record is from RNAcentral.
GACGGAGGUGGCCGAGUGGUUAAGGCGAUGGACUGCUAAUCCAUUGGGAUCUUCCCGCGUGGGUUCGAAUCCCACCUUCGUCG